ACAGAACUUGCAAUUGGAGCCACCACGGGCUGUCACCACCACGAGAUUUGCUCCAAAAGGCAAGAAAAAUGAAACCCUAAACUAAAGAGGAAACAAAAAAUGACAGAGAGUGUAUGUUCGAAGGUCUAAGAGAGUCUUAUUUACAUGGUAGAAACCCCUAUAUAUAGGGUUGAAGAAAGAAGAAAAAAAUGAAAGAGGGAAAAGGGAAGAAGAAACUUGCAAGAGACGCUUUGAGGUUCUAAUCGGAGGGCCAACCUUCUUUUUCUUCCAACUCGCGUUUUUAGCCAUUCAAUCCUCUUUAUCGGGCAGCUGCGGUCAGUUUGAGUUCAUUUCCUCUGCAGACCAGCCUUCUCCCUUGAGCUAUUGAAGCUCCCUCUCUUCGUUCUUUCACUCUGCUUAAGCCCUAGCUUUGAGUUUUCUUUUUUCUUCCUCAUAUGCUCGAGAGAGUUCUUUAUUUCGUCAAAAUGAAUUUCAAAUCAGAGACCCCCUAGCAGUUGCAAUGCCAAAACACUGUCGUUCCACUAAUUUGAAUCAGCCCACCUACCCAAUUCCCAGUAUUUUGCAUCAGACCAGUUCCCUUCCAAAGACAACUUUAGCCAAGCUUUUUCACAAUGUGCAGUAUUACUAAUCCAUGGGCCCAAACCAGUGCGGCCAAAUUUCAUUACCAAUUCAGCACAAUUCCUUUUCAAUUGAUCCCACUAGUGACAACAACUUUGCAGCUCAUACCAAGUGGCCCAGUGCAGUUUCAUUUCAGCCUAAUCACUAAAGCCCAAUCUGAGUGUAGCAUCCCAUUUUAUUUCAUAUCUG
Molecule: long non-coding RNA, 807 nt
Filed under: Vigna radiata
Lineage: Eukaryota; Viridiplantae; Streptophyta; Magnoliopsida; Fabales; Fabaceae
Description: long non-coding RNA (VRAD_LNC017914)
Source: RNAcentral